CUGCUCAGGAUGAACGCUGGCGGCGUGCUUAACACAUGCAAGUCGAACGGGAUCCAUCAAGCUUGCUUGAUGGUGAGAGUGGCGAACGGGUGAGUAAUACGUGACUAACCUGCCUCAUACACCGGAAUAGCUCCUGGAAACGGGUGGUAAUGCCGGAUGCUCCAACAUUUCACAUGUUUUGUUGGGAAAGCGUUAGCGGUAUGAGAUGGGGUCGCGUCCUAUCAGCUUGUUGGUGAGGUAAUGGCUCACCAAGGCUUCGACGGGUAGCCGGCCUGAGAGGGCGACCGGCCACAUUGGGACUGAGAUACGGCCCAGACUCCUACGGGAGGCAGCAGUGGGGAAUAUUGCACAAUGGGCGAAAGCCUGAUGCAGCGACGCCGCGUGCGGGAUGAAGGCCUUCGGGUUGUAAACCGCUUUUAAUUGGGAGCAAGCGAGAGUGAGUGUACCUUUUGAAUAAGCACCGGCUAACUACGUGCCAGCAGCCGCGGUAAUACGUAGGGUGCAAGCGUUAUCCGGAAUUAUUGGGCGUAAAGAGCUCGUAGGCGGUUUGUCACGCCUGGUGUGAAAGUCCAUCGCUUAACGGUGGAUCUGCGCCGGGUACGGGCAGGCUAGAGUGCAGUAGGGGAGAUUGGAAUUCCCGGUGUAACGGUGGAAUGUGUAGAUAUCGGGAAGAACACCAAUGGCGAAGGCAGAUCUCUGGGCUGUUACUGACGCUGAGAG
This 720-nucleotide ribosomal RNA is filed under the name Bifidobacterium sp. PR4. RNAcentral describes it as "bacterial SSU rRNA". It matches the Rfam family "Bacterial small subunit ribosomal RNA", at positions 20 to 753 of the family's 1533-position model. The record is from RNAcentral. Lineage: Bacteria; Bacillati; Actinomycetota; Actinomycetes; Bifidobacteriales; Bifidobacteriaceae.